UUAAUAUUUCGGUCUGAUUUACUUUAUUACAUUUUAAGAUAACUUUCAACUGUGAUCUUUGAGAGUCUUGUUCAACCACAGUAAAGAUGAGUUUUGCAUCAGCCUUCAUCGUGGCACUUGCUUCCUUUAUGGCAUUCGUCGAUUUGACGAUUGGCAGCCCUGAGCACAAAGAAGGAUGUACAUGUGGCCAACAUAAGGGAUGGCUUAAGUUAACGUGAUUAAUUAUAAAUAGAAAUAAAACUUUAUGAAAUAA
This is a long non-coding RNA of Macrosteles quadrilineatus (aster leafhopper), 253 nucleotides long. RefSeq lists it as uncharacterized. The record is from RefSeq and is a predicted model, not a curated record. The transcript is spliced from 3 exons. Lineage: Eukaryota; Metazoa; Arthropoda; Insecta; Hemiptera; Cicadellidae.